GUGUGCAAUUAAAUACAAUAUCCCUUGGAAUCUACAUGAAUCUAUACACUAUUUCCCCUCCUUCACUAACUAACUUCCUAUUUUGAUGUUCAACAAUAGUUCAAUGAAGACCAUUCAAGUCAAACUCAC
Molecule: long non-coding RNA, 129 nt
Organism: Haliotis rubra (blacklip abalone)
Lineage: Eukaryota; Metazoa; Mollusca; Gastropoda; Lepetellida; Haliotidae
Exons: 3
Source: RefSeq, a predicted model, not a curated record